UGAGCUCCAGUACAAAUAAAUGUUGUUUGAUCUCUGGACGGAGGCUCCACUAAAACCUCCUAGCCUUCCUGCCCUCAUCCAUCUACGUCUUAGGGGAGUAUCAGCCCAACUCCAGGAACUUACGAGCAUAUUCUGGUAUCGUCAUGUUCCCUUGGACCAACUGGACAAACUCCAUCUCCUUUAAAUGUCGAAUGUGCUCUGGGAGGUACUCUGCAUGAAAGGCUGU
This 226-nucleotide long non-coding RNA is filed under the name Carica papaya (papaya). RNAcentral describes it as "long non-coding RNA (CPAP_LNC012130)". Lineage: Eukaryota; Viridiplantae; Streptophyta; Magnoliopsida; Brassicales; Caricaceae. The record is from RNAcentral.